This 253-nucleotide ribosomal RNA is filed under the name uncultured bacterium. Its description in RNAcentral is "partial 16S ribosomal RNA". It matches the Rfam family "Bacterial small subunit ribosomal RNA", at positions 524 to 776 of the family's 1533-position model. The record is from RNAcentral.
UACGUAGGGCGCAAGCGUUGUCCGGAAUUAUUGGGCGUAAAGAGCUCGUAGGCGGUCUGUCACGUCUGCUGUGAAAACCCGGGGCUUAACCCCGGGCUUGCAGUGGAUACGGGCAGACUAGAGGCAGGUAGGGGAGAAUGGAAUUCCCGGUGUAGCGGUGAAAUGCGUUGAUAUCAGGAGGAACACCCAUGGCGAAGGCAGCAAACUGGGCAUCAUCUGACGCUGAGGCGCGAAAGCGUGGGUAGCAAACAGG